GUCCAGGGUACUUAGUGGACAUGGCAUCUGCCCGGUAAGCGGAACACUGUGGGUUCGAUUCCCAUCCCUGGACA
Cordylochernes scorpioides is the source of this 74-nucleotide non-coding RNA. Lineage: Eukaryota; Metazoa; Arthropoda; Arachnida; Pseudoscorpiones; Chernetidae. The record is from the annotation of a GenBank genome assembly.